RNAcentral lists this ribosomal RNA (497 nucleotides) under uncultured bacterium. RNAcentral describes it as "partial 16S ribosomal RNA". It matches the Rfam family "Bacterial small subunit ribosomal RNA", at positions 28 to 507 of the family's 1533-position model. The record is from RNAcentral.
GAUGAACGCUGGCGGCGUGCCUAAUACAUGCAAGUCGAGCGAACAGACGAGGAGCUUGCUCCUCUGACGUUAGCGGCGGACGGGUGAGUAACACGUGGAUAACCUACCUAUAAGACUGGGAUAACUUCGGGAAACCGGAGCUAAUACCGGAUAAUAUAUUGAACCGCAUGGUUCAAUAGUGAAAGACGGUUUUGCUGUCACUUAUAGAUGGAUCCGCGCCGCAUUAGCUAGUUGGGAAGGUAACGGCUUACCAAGGCAACGAUGCGUAGCCGACCUGAGAGGGGGAUCGGCCACACUGGAACUGAGACACGGUCCAGACGCCUACGGGAGGCAGCAGUAGGGAAUCUUCCGCAAUGGGCGAAAGCCUGACGGAGCAACGCCGCGUGAGUGAUGAAGGUCUUCGGAUCGUAAAACUCUGUUAUGAGGGAAGAACAAAUGUGUAAGUAACUAUGCACGUCUUGACGGUACCUAAUCAGAAAGCCACGGCUAACUACGUG